Molecule: ribosomal RNA, 301 nt
Filed under: uncultured bacterium
Lineage: Bacteria
Description: partial 16S ribosomal RNA
Rfam family: Bacterial small subunit ribosomal RNA
Source: RNAcentral
CAGUCGCCGCGGGAAUACGGAGGGUGCAAGCGUUAAUCGGAAUUACUGGGCGUAAAGCGCACGCAGGCGGUCUGACAAGUCAGAUGUGAAAUCCCCGGGCUUAACCUGGGAACUGCAUUUGAAACUGUCAGGCUGGAGUCUUGUAGAGGGGGGUGGAAUUCCAGGUGUAGCGGUGAAAUGCGUAGAGAUCUGGAGGAAUACCGGUGGCGAAGGCGGCCCCCUGGACAAAGACUGACGCUCAGGUGCGAAAGCGUGGGGAGCAAACAGGAUUAGAGACCCGAGUAGUCCCUGUCUCUUAUAA